RNAcentral lists this ribosomal RNA (1500 nucleotides) under metagenome. Its description in RNAcentral is "bacterial SSU rRNA". It matches the Rfam family "Bacterial small subunit ribosomal RNA". The record is from RNAcentral.
AGAGUUUGAUCAUGGCUCAGAUUGAACGCUGGCGGCAGGCCCAACACAUGCAAGUCGAACGGUAACAGGAAGCAGCUUGCUGCUUCGCUGACGAGUGGCGGACGGGUGAGUAAUGUCUGGGAAGCUGCCUGAUGGAGGGGGAUAACUACUGGAAACGGUAGCUAAUACCGCAUAAUGUCGCAAGACCAAAGAGGGGGACCUUCGGGCCUCUUGCCAUCGGAUGUGCCCAGAUGGGAUUAGCUUGUUGGUGGGGUAACGGCUCACCAAGGCGACGAUCCCUAGCUGGUCUGAGAGGAUGACCAGCCACACUGGAACUGAGACACGGUCCAGACUCCUACGGGAGGCAGCAGUGGGGAAUAUUGCACAAUGGGCGCAAGCCUGAUGCAGCUAUGCCGCGUGUAUGAAGAAGGCCUUCGGGUUGUAAAGUACUUUCAGCGGGGAGGAAGGGAGUAAAGUUAAUACCUUUGCUCAUUGACGUUACCCGCAGAAGAAGCACCGGCUAACUCCGUGCCAGCAGCCGCGGUAAUACGGAGGGUGCAAGCGUUAAUCGGAAUUACUGGGCGUAAAGCGCACGCAGGCGGUUUGUUAAGUCAGAUGUGAAAUCCCCGGGCUCAACCUGGGAACUGCAUCUGAUACUGGCAAGCUUGAGUCUCGUAGAGGGGGGUAGAAUUCCAGGUGUAGCGGUGAAAUGCGUAGAGAUCUGGAGGAAUACCGGUGGCGAAGGCGGCCCCCUGGACGAAGACUGACGCUCAGGUGCGAAAGCGUGGGGAGCAAACAGGAUUAGAUACCCUGGUAGUCCACGCCGUAAACGAUGUCGACUUGGAGGUUGUGCCCUUGAGGCGUGGCUUCCGGAGCUAACGCGUUAAGUCGACCGCCUGGGGAGUACGGCCGCAAGGUUAAAACUCAAAUGAAUUGACGGGGGCCCGCACAAGCGGUGGAGCAUGUGGUUUAAUUCGAUGCAACGCGAAGAACCUUACCUGGUCUUGACAUCCACGGAAGUUUUCAGAGAUGAGAAUGUGCCUUCGGGAACCGUGAGACAGGUGCUGCAUGGCUGUCGUCAGCUCGUGUUGUGAAAUGUUGGGUUAAGUCCCGCAACGAGCGCAACCCUUAUCCUUUGUUGCCAGCGGUCCGGCCGGGAACUCAAAGGAGACUGCCAGUGAUAAACUGGAGGAAGGUGGGGAUGACGUCAAGUCAUCAUGGCCCUUACGACCAGGGCUACACACGUGCUACAAUGGCGCAUACAAAGAGAAGCGACCUCGCGAGAGCAAGCGGACCUCAUAAAGUGCGUCGUAGUCCGGAUUGGAGUCUGCAACUCGACUCCAUGAAGUCGGAAUCGCUAGUAAUCGUGGAUCAGAAUGCCACGGUGAAUACGUUCCCGGGCCUUGUACACACCGCCCGUCACACCAUGGGAGUGGGUUGCAAAAGAAGUAGGUAGCUUAACCUUCGGGAGGGCGCUUACCACUUUGUGAUUCAUGACUGGGGUGAAGUCGGAACAAGGUA